RNAcentral lists this long non-coding RNA (538 nucleotides) under Homo sapiens (human). RNAcentral describes it as "HSALNT0300405". The record is from RNAcentral. Lineage: Eukaryota; Metazoa; Chordata; Mammalia; Primates; Hominidae.
AGCUAAAUGCAGGGAGGCAGAGAAGACAGGAGAGAUGGAGGCUUGCAGGACCUGGUGGUUGGGGAGGGCCAGUGACCAGGUGUUUAGAAGCAGCACCUCCUGUGAUUGGGGCUGAGGGUGAACUCUGCUUUCAAGCAGAGGUGGUUUGUCGUGGGUCUUCCAUGAUGACACCAGGUCAAGGAAGCAGAAGUUUGCUUGGUAAACAUGGAAUCGGAACAUGGGAAUUGGGCCACUGGGAUAUUCAAUUGCGUCAGACCAUUGUAGCUGAUACUCCUGGACAGAGGGGCUUUGCCAACUGGACAGAUAUAUGAAGUGUUGCUGACCGAGCUCCUUGCUCUGUGUGGGAGGGAUCUUGCCAGCUCCAGCCUUGGUGGGUCUCCUUUUUCUGUUUCCAAGCUUAAAUAAGCACUUGGCUGUUCUGAUUAGCACUUUUAAAAGCUGUGUUAAUAAGUUCAAUUAAAAUAGAAGAAUCUCUCAUUCUGUCAUAUCGGGUUUUUUUAAUUGCAAACCAAUAAAACUUAAAUGAACUUGAGCAAAA